GGACAGUCAUCGCCGAGUCCCCGCAUGGCGCGAGCCAGGGGAGCCGGGGACCCACGUAGUCCCUGGGGUGAAUCGGACGCCCUCCCCGGAGGGGGUCCGUAGGAGACCUUCCUGCUCCGAACCCGUCAGCUAACCCGGUAGGCGAGAAGGAAGGAAAGG
This 159-nucleotide small RNA is filed under the name Streptomyces sp. RNAcentral describes it as "c-di-AMP sequence". It matches the Rfam family "c-di-AMP riboswitch aptamer (ydaO/yuaA leader)". Rfam says of the family: This family represents a conserved RNA structure found upstream of the ydaO and yuaA genes in Bacillus subtilis and related genes in other bacteria. The ydaO/yuaA element is thought to act as a genetic "off" switch for the ydaO and yuaA genes in its native state. Lineage: Bacteria; Bacillati; Actinomycetota; Actinomycetes; Kitasatosporales; Streptomycetaceae. The record is from RNAcentral.